GGGAAAUGCAAGGAAUCUCAGAUUCUUUUUGGAGCAGAGGAGAAGGUGUCUUGCCAGCUGCCUGGAUAUUUAAGACUGCUUUCUCCUUCUUCUAGUAUAAGAGUGUAUGCAAGAGACAGAAAGAGGAGAUCCAGCACUUCAAAAUGCAAUACGGACACACUGACAAUUAUACAAAACAGCAAUCUUCCCAUCUGUGGUUACCACAGUGUCAAUCUAAAGAAGAGGGUAGCUAAGGUAUAGCCCUCCAGACAUGGAUGAACUGCAGUUCCCAAGAUCCUUU
Molecule: long non-coding RNA, 280 nt
Filed under: Salvator merianae (Argentine black and white tegu)
Lineage: Eukaryota; Metazoa; Chordata; Lepidosauria; Squamata; Teiidae
Description: lncRNA (ENSSMRG00000015353.1)
Source: RNAcentral